CUGAGAACUCUAGGCUGUUUAUUUCCCUGCUCUCAGGGCUGACAAGGCCAUGCAGAAUUCCCAUGUGAAGAUAGAACAUAACCUCCAGGUCCAAGUUCUGCAGGUGGAAAGGAAGGUGCACCAGGAGGCUUGUCUUGGAAGAGAUUCCAGACCCUGUCAAACUGACAGGAACCAUCACACUUCUCUCGAUUACAAGUAAUGGAUUCUGGAGUAUAGCUGGUUCAAAGAAGAACAGGAAGAGUCAUGGCUACAGAGCAUUGCUUCCAAAACCAAAGAAUUCAUCAUACAUGCUUGAAAAGAAAACAAGAGAGGGAGGCAAAAGCUGGAUGACACAGGCACCAAUAAUCAG
Molecule: long non-coding RNA, 349 nt
Filed under: Mus spicilegus (steppe mouse)
Lineage: Eukaryota; Metazoa; Chordata; Mammalia; Rodentia; Muridae
Description: lncRNA (ENSMSIG00000013169.1)
Source: RNAcentral